Molecule: ribosomal RNA, 771 nt
Filed under: uncultured bacterium
Lineage: Bacteria
Description: bacterial SSU rRNA
Rfam family: Bacterial small subunit ribosomal RNA
Source: RNAcentral
CAAGUCGAACGAGACCUUCGGGUCUAGUGGCGCACGGGUGCGUAACGCGUGGGAAUCUGCCCUUAGGUACGGGAUAACACAGGGAAACUUGUGCUAAUACCGUAUGAUGACGAAAGUCCAAAGAUUUAUCGCCUAAGGAUGAGCCCGCGUAGGAUUAGCUUGUUGGUGAGGUAAAGGCUCACCAAGGCGACGAUCCUUAGCUGGUCUGAGGGGAUGAUCAGCCACACUGGGACUGAGACACGGCCCAGACUCCUACGGGAGGCAGCAGUGGGGAAUAUUGGACAAUGGGCGAAAGCCUGAUCCAGCAAUGCCGCGUGAGUGAUGAAGGCCCUAGGGUUGUAAAGCUCUUUUACCCGGGAAGAUAAUGACUGUACCGGGAGAAUAAGCCCCGGCUAACUCCGUGCCAGCAGCCGCGGUAAUACGGAGGGGGCUAGCGUUGUUCGGAAUUACUGGGCGUAAAGCGCUCGCAGGCGGCUCGAUGCGUCGUGCGUGAAACACCCCGGCUCAACUGGGGAGGGUCGUGCGAUACGGUCGGGCUUGAGGCCAGUAGGGGGAUGCGGAAUUCCGGGUGUAGUGGUGGAAUGCGUAGAGAUCCGGAGGAACACCGGCGGCGAAGGCGGCAUCCUGGACUGGUACUGACGCUCAGGAGCGAAAGCGUGGGGAGCGAUCCGGAUUAGAUACCCGGGUAGUCCACGCUGUAAACGAUGAGAACUAGGUGUCGGGGGUAUCGACCCCCUCGGUGCCGAAGCUAACGCGAUAAGUUCUCCGCCU